GCCAGGCUGGCUCAGUUGGUAGAGCAUGUGACCUUUGAUUUUGGGGUUGUGAGUUCGAGCCCCAUGUGUGGUG
Molecule: transfer RNA, 73 nt
Filed under: Ailuropoda melanoleuca (giant panda)
Lineage: Eukaryota; Metazoa; Chordata; Mammalia; Carnivora; Ursidae
Rfam family: tRNA
About the family: Transfer RNA (tRNA) molecules are approximately 80 nucleotides in length.
Source: Rfam by way of RNAcentral